AGAGUUGAUCUGGCUCAGGAUGAACGCUAGCUACAGGCUAACACAUGCAAGUCGAGGGCAGCAGGACGAUAGCUUGCUAUUGUUGCUGGCGACCGGCGCACGGGUGAGUAACGCGUAUCCAACCUUCCCCUUAGUAGGGCAUAGCCCGGUGAAAAUCGGAUUAAUACCCUAUGUUGUGUCAUGAGGACAUCUGAAUAACACUAAAGAUUUAUCGCUAAGGGAUGGGGAUGCGUCCGAUUAGGUAGUCGGCGGGGUAACGGCCCACCGAGCCCUCGAUCGGUAGGGUUCUGAGAGGAAGGUCCCCCACACUGGUACUGAGACACGGACCAGACUCCUACGGGAGGCAGCAGUGAGGAAUAUUGGUCAAUGGGCGUAAGCCUGAACCAGCCAAGUAGCGUUGCAGGAUGACGGCCCUAUGGGUUGUAAACUGCUUUUAUACGGGGAUAAAGUGAGGGACGUGUCCCUUAUUGUAGGUACCGUAUGAAUAAGGACCGGCUAAUUCCGUGCCAGCAGCAGC
Molecule: ribosomal RNA, 517 nt
Filed under: uncultured bacterium
Lineage: Bacteria
Description: bacterial SSU rRNA
Rfam family: Bacterial small subunit ribosomal RNA
Source: RNAcentral